RNAcentral lists this ribosomal RNA (395 nucleotides) under Acanthamoeba sp. Cerrado FPD-2014. Its description in RNAcentral is "SSU rRNA". It matches the Rfam family "Eukaryotic small subunit ribosomal RNA", at positions 795 to 1093 of the family's 1831-position model. Lineage: Eukaryota; Discosea; Longamoebia; Acanthamoebidae. The record is from RNAcentral.
CAAUAACAUGUAGCAUGGGAUAAUGGAAUAGGACCCUGUCCUCCUAUUUUCAGUUGGUUUUGGCAGCGCGAGGACUAGGGUAAUGAUUAAUAGGGAUAGUUGGGGGCAUUAAUAUUUAAUUGUCAGAGGUGAAAUUGUUGGAUAUAUGAAAGAUUAACUUCUGCGAAAGCAUCUGCCAAGGAUGUUUUCAUUAAUCAAGAACGAAAGUUAGGGGAUCGAAGACGAUCAGAUACCGUCGUAGUCUUAACCAUAAACGAUGCCGACCAGCGAUUAGGAGACGUUGAAUACAAAACACCACCAUCGGCGCGGUCGUCCUUGGCGUCUCGCGUUCGCGCGCGGCGCGAGGGCGGCUUACCCCGGUGGCACCGGUGAAUGACUCCCCUAGCAGCUUGUGA